AACGCACCUUGCGCUCCGUGGUAUUCCGCGGAGCAUGCCUGUUUGAGUGUCGCGCCCUCACCUCACCCGCGCUUUUCCUUGACUGGAAUCGCGCGGCGUGGAUCGUGGCCUUGCUCGACCGCCUCGGCGCGUCGAAGGCCGAAAGACGGGGAGCGCGCGGCCUCUUGCGUUGAAGGCGCCGCGGCUUGACCGGACACCACGAUUGUACUUUUUGCCUUCGUGCCCUGUCCGGGACGCGGUCGCCUUCGCUCACGACGCCCGAGGUCGAGCGCUGCGAACGCAACUCACUUUUGAUCAACGACCUCAAAUCAGGCAGGACGACCCGCUGAACUUAA
Molecule: unclassified non-coding RNA, 335 nt
Filed under: Mycoenterolobium sp.
Lineage: Eukaryota; Fungi; Ascomycota
Description: partial contains 5.8S ribosomal RNA, internal transcribed spacer 2, and large subunit ribosomal RNA
Rfam family: 5.8S ribosomal RNA (bases 1-52)
Source: RNAcentral